This 863-nucleotide ribosomal RNA is filed under the name uncultured Actinomycetes bacterium. Its description in RNAcentral is "bacterial SSU rRNA". It matches the Rfam family "Bacterial small subunit ribosomal RNA", at positions 27 to 896 of the family's 1533-position model. Lineage: Bacteria; Bacillati; Actinomycetota; Actinomycetes. The record is from RNAcentral.
GGACGAACGCUGGCGGCGUGCUUAACACAUGCAAGUCGAACGGAUCACAUUGCUUCGGUUUUGUGGUGAGUGGCGAACGGGUGAGUAACACGUGAGUAACCUGCCCCCUUCUUUGGGAUAACGUCGGGAAAUCGGCGCUAAUACUGGAUAUUCUGGUUUCCUCGCAUGGGGUUUCUGGGAAAGGUUUUCUGGUGGGGGAUGGGCUCGCGGCCUAUCAGCUUGUUGGUGGGGUGAUGGCCUACCAAGGCGGUGACGGGUAGCCGGCCUGAGAGGGUGUCCGGCCACACUGGGACUGAGACACGGCCCAGACUCCUACGGGAGGCAGCAGUGGGGAAUAUUGCACAAUGGGCGCAAGCCUGAUGCAGCGACGCCGCGUGAGGGAUGACGGCCUUCGGGUUGUAAACCUCUUUCAGUACAGAACAAGGCCUUCGGGUUGAGGGUAUGUGCAGAAGAAGCGCCGGCUAACUACGUGCCAGCAGCCGCGGUAAUACGUAGGGCGCGAGCGUUGUCCGGAAUUAUUGGGCGUAAAGAGCUCGUAGGCGGUUUGUCGCAUCUGCCGUGAAAUCCUCUGGCUUAACUGGGGGCGUGCGGUGGGUACGGGCAGACUGGAGUGCGGUAGGGGAGACUGGAAUUCCUGGUGUAGCGGUGGAAUGCGCAGAUAUCAGGAGGAACACCGGUGGCGAAGGCGGGUCUCUGGGCCGUUACUGACGCUGAGGAGCGAAAGCAUGGGGAGCGAACAGGAUUAGAUACCCUGGUAGUCCAUGCCGUAAACGUUGGGAACUAGGUGUGGGGUCCAUUCCACGGAUUCUGCGCCGUAGCUAACGCAUUAAGUUCCCCGCCUGGGGAGUACGGCCGCAAGGCUA